ACCCCUGAACUGGUAUAUCUUGCUCUUCUGAUCCGGAACAUCCUGCAACGCGUAACGGGCCAGCUCGUGAAACUCAACAUUGUACUUGUACACAGAAUUGCUGCCCUGCUUCAAGCGCCUGAACUUCUCACGCAUCUCCUCAACAAAACUGGAAGGGAUGUAGUGGGACCUGAAGUCAUGACAAAACUCGUCCCAAGACAUCACCCUGCCACCU
This 214-nucleotide long non-coding RNA is filed under the name Hordeum vulgare. Its description in RNAcentral is "long non-coding RNA (HVUL_LNC004374)". Lineage: Eukaryota; Viridiplantae; Streptophyta; Magnoliopsida; Poales; Poaceae. The record is from RNAcentral.